AUAUCAUGGUAGUUAAAUAACUUUCUCCUCUCCUUCUUAGAGCAGACUUGCAGCCAUUCUUCUAGCGUCAAUCUGUUGCGGAAGAUUUUCGAUCACGUAUGAAUACAGCUGGAAUAAGUCGGGGACCAUCGGAGUGAUGUUUCUAUAAAAUAAGUUCUGACCGGAGUUGGCUCCGACGAGGAUCCUCCGAUGGUCAAGUCAGGAAUUUGGCACAAUAGAAGAGAAGGAGAGAG
Molecule: long non-coding RNA, 233 nt
Filed under: Elaeis guineensis (African oil palm)
Lineage: Eukaryota; Viridiplantae; Streptophyta; Magnoliopsida; Arecales; Arecaceae
Description: long non-coding RNA (EGUI_LNC030809)
Source: RNAcentral